CCUACGGGGGGCAGCAGUAGGGAAUCUUCUACAAUGGGCGAAAGCCUGAUGGAGCAACGCCGCGUGGGUGAAGAAGGUCUUCGGAUCGUAAAACUCUGUUGUUAGAGAAGAAAGUGCGUGUGAGUAACUGUUCACGUUUCGACGGUAUCUAACCAGAAAGCCACGGCUAACUACGUGCCAGCAGCCGCGGUAAUACGUAGGUGGCAAGCGUUAUCCGGAUUUAUUGGGCGUAAAGGGAACGCAGGCGGUCUUUUAAGUCUGAUGUGAAAGCCUUCGGCUUAACCGGAGUAGUGCAUUGGAAACUGGGAGACUUGAGUGCAGAAGAGGAGAGUGGAACUCCAUGUGUAGCGGUGAAAUGCGUAGAUAUAUGGAAGAACACCAGUGGCGAAAGCGGCUCUCUGGUCUGUAACUGACGCUGAGGUUCGAAAGCGUGGGUAGCAAACAGGAUUAGAUACCCCAGUAGUC
Molecule: ribosomal RNA, 465 nt
Filed under: uncultured bacterium
Lineage: Bacteria
Description: partial 16S ribosomal RNA
Rfam family: Bacterial small subunit ribosomal RNA
Source: RNAcentral